This 373-nucleotide transfer-messenger RNA is filed under the name Actinomycetota bacterium. It matches the Rfam family "transfer-messenger RNA". From Rfam's summary of the family: Bacterial tmRNA, also known as 10Sa RNA or SsrA, is named for its dual tRNA and mRNA-like properties. Its role is to liberate the mRNA from a stalled ribosome. To accomplish this part of the tmRNA is used as a reading frame that ends in a translation stop signal. The record is from RNAcentral. Lineage: Bacteria; Bacillati; Actinomycetota.
GGGGGUGAACGGUCUCGACUUUGGACGUCGAGUCAGGGGAAGCGGGCCGAGGAUCCAGAGUUAUCUCGUUAACGCUCUCUGGAAACCAACAAGCGCCAAUGCUAAGCGCGCUGACUUCGCUCUUGCUGCCUAAGUAAGAGAACGCCGAAGUCUGUCAGCCCGGGAAUGCUUCCGACCCGGAUCCUGGCAUCAGCUAGGGAGAUCACCGCGUAGUUCGGUAGCGGGACGACGCGGGACAUCACACAGCUACUGGGCCUGUCAGCAGAUUCGCCUGUGACACUGCUGGGGCCGAGCAGAACAGCAGCAGGAUGCGCCCGGAGAAGCCCUGGUUCGGUGCCGAAGGACGCGGGUUCGAUUCCCGCCACCUCCACCG